RNAcentral lists this ribosomal RNA (497 nucleotides) under uncultured bacterium. Its description in RNAcentral is "partial 16S ribosomal RNA". It matches the Rfam family "Bacterial small subunit ribosomal RNA", at positions 28 to 507 of the family's 1533-position model. The record is from RNAcentral.
GAUGAACGCUGGCGGCGUGCCUAAUACAUGCAAGUCGAGCGAACAGACGAGGAGCUUGCUCCUCUGACGUUAGCGGCGGACGGGUGAGUAACACGUGGAUAACCUACCUAUAAGACUGGGAUAACUUCGGGAAACCAGAGCUAAUACCGGAUAAUAUAUUGAACCGCAUGGUUCAAUAGUUAAAGAAGGUUUUGCUGUCACUUAUAGAUGGAUCCGCGCCGCAUUAGCUAGUUGGUAAGGUAACGGCUUACCAAGGCAACGAUGCGUAGCCGACCUGAGAGGGUGAUCGGCCACACUGGAACUGAGACACGGUCCAGACCCCUACGGGAGGCAGCAGUAGGGAAUCUUCCGAAAUGGGCGAAAGCCUGACGGAGCAACGCCGAGUGAGUGAUGAAGGUCUUCGGAUCUUAAAACUCUGUUAUUAGGGAAGAACAAAUGUGUAAGUAACUAUGCACGUCUUGACGGUACCUAAUCAGAAAGCCACGGCUAACUACGUG